CACGUAGGGUGCGAGCGUUGUCCGGAAUUAUUGGGCGUAAAGAGCUCGUAGGCGGUGUGUCGCGUCGGCCGUGAAAACCUGCAGCUUAACUGUGGGCUUGCGGUCGAUACGGGCAUCACUGGAGUUCGGCAGGGGAGACUGGAAUUCCUGGUGUAGCGGUGAAAUGCGCAGAUAUCAGGAGGAACACCGGUGGCGAAGGCGGGUCCCUGGGCCGAUACUGACGCUGAGGAGCGAAAGCGUGGGGAGCGAACAGG
This 254-nucleotide ribosomal RNA is filed under the name uncultured bacterium. RNAcentral's name for it is "partial 16S ribosomal RNA". It matches the Rfam family "Bacterial small subunit ribosomal RNA", at positions 524 to 776 of the family's 1533-position model. The record is from RNAcentral.